RNAcentral lists this ribosomal RNA (757 nucleotides) under Paenibacillus massiliensis subsp. panacisoli. Its description in RNAcentral is "bacterial SSU rRNA". It matches the Rfam family "Bacterial small subunit ribosomal RNA", at positions 31 to 765 of the family's 1533-position model. Lineage: Bacteria; Bacillati; Bacillota; Bacilli; Caryophanales; Paenibacillaceae. The record is from RNAcentral.
AAACAUUCCGGCGGGCCCUAAAUCAUUGCAAGUUCGAGCGGACUUGAUGGAGAGCUUGCUCUCCUGAGAGUUAGCGGCGGACGGGUGAGUAACACGUAGGCAACCUGCCCUCUGGACUGGGAUAACUACCGGAAACGGUAGCUAAUACCAGAUAAUUCACUUCUUCGCAUGGAGGAGUGAGGAAAGACGGAGCAAUCUGUCACCGGAGGAUGGGCCUGCGGCGCAUUAGCUAGUUGGAGAGGUAACGGCUCCCCAAGGCGACGAUGCGUAGCCGACCUGAGAGGGUGAUCGGCCACACUGGGACUGAGACACGGCCCAGACUCCUACGGGAGGCAGCAGUAGGGAAUCUUCCGCAAUGGGCGAAAGCCUGACGGAGCAACGCCGCGUGAGUGAUGAAGGUUUUCGGAUCGUAAAGCUCUGUUGCCAAGGAAGAACGUCCUUAAGAGUAACUGCUUAAGGAGUGACGGUACUUGAGAAGAAAGCUCCGGCUAACUACGUGCCAGCAGCCGCGGUAAUACGUAGGGGGCAAGCGUUGUCCGGAAUUAUUGGGCGUAAAGCGCGCGCAGGCGGUCAUGUAAGUCUGGUGUUUUAAGCCCGGGGCUCAACCCCGGAUCGCACGGGAAACUGGAUGACUUGAGUGCAGAAGAGGAGAGUGGAAUUCCACGUGUAGCGGUGAAAUGCGUAGAGAUGUGGAGGAACACCAGUGGCGAAAGCGACUCUCUGGGCUGUAACUGACGCUGAGGCGCGAAAGCGUUGG